GAGGAAUGUAUAGCAAUAGCUACUUGCAUCAUUAUAAAUAUGAUGCAAGAUCGACUAUGUCGAAUAAAAUUCUAGGUAGAAUUAUGAUAAUGACAUUGUCUGCCUAUGUGUCUUGACCAAAUUACGUGCCAGCAGUCGCGGUAAUACGUAGAAGACUAGUGUUAUUCAUGUUUAAUCGGUUUAAAGGGUACCUAGACGGUAAAUCAAGCCUACAUAAUAAAGAAGAUAAAGGGACUAAUUUACUAGAGUUACUUAUGAGGGGGUAUUAAAGUACUGCUGGUGUAGAGAUGAAAUUCUGUCAUACCUCUUUUAAAUAGAAAAAUAAUGGCACAGGUAUAGGCGAAAGCAUCCCCUUAUGUGAUAACUGACGUUGAGGGACGAAGGCUUUGUGUAGCGAACAGGAUUAGAUACCCCAGUAGUCAAAGCAGAAAAUGAUGAAUGUCAUAGAUUAGAUAAAUAAGUUUAUUCUAUAAAUGAAAGUGUAAGCAUUCCACCUCAAGAGUAAUUUGGCAACAUUGGAACUGAAAUCAUUAGACCGUUUCUGAAACCAGUAGUGAAGUAUGUUGUUUAAUUUGAUGAUCCGCAAAAAACCUUACCACAAUUUGAAUAUUUAUAUUUUUUAUUGUUUUCUUAUUAAUUUUCUUCUUUCAACAAUAAAAAGAAAAUUAAUAAUGAGGCAAUAAGGUAUAUUUACAAGCGUUGCACGGCUGUCUUCAGUUAAUGUCGCGAGACUUUGGUUAGUUCCAUUAAAUUAACGUAAACCCUUACUCUAUUUUUAUAUAGAGUAGUUCCCCGCUAUAUUGGAUAUGAU
RNAcentral lists this ribosomal RNA (811 nucleotides) under Protousnea magellanica. Its description in RNAcentral is "SSU rRNA". It matches the Rfam family "Bacterial small subunit ribosomal RNA", at positions 356 to 1174 of the family's 1533-position model. Lineage: Eukaryota; Fungi; Ascomycota; Lecanoromycetes; Lecanorales; Parmeliaceae. The record is from RNAcentral.